This 84-nucleotide non-coding RNA is filed under the name Paraburkholderia sacchari. Its description in RNAcentral is "Burkholderia sacchari Burkholderia sRNA 25". It matches the Rfam family "Burkholderia sRNA 25". From Rfam's summary of the family: Identified by RNA-seq, RACE and Northern blot. Strongly expressed in biofilm. The record is from Rfam by way of RNAcentral. Lineage: Bacteria; Pseudomonadati; Pseudomonadota; Betaproteobacteria; Burkholderiales; Burkholderiaceae.
GCUGCUUUUCGAAGUGGCCUUUUUCGUUGACGAAAAAGAUCUCCAAACCUUUGUCGGCGCGGCUACUUGCCGCGCUCUUUUUUU